Molecule: ribosomal RNA, 374 nt
Filed under: Mucochytrium quahogii
Lineage: Eukaryota; Bigyra; Thraustochytrida; Thraustochytriidae
Description: labyrinthulid quahog parasite QPX partial Bacterial small subunit ribosomal RNA
Rfam family: Bacterial small subunit ribosomal RNA
Source: RNAcentral
GGGGACUCAUGGGAGACUGCCGGGGUCAACUCGGAGGAAGGUGGGGAUGACGUCAAAUCAUCAUGCCCCUUAUGUCUUGGGCUUCACGCAUGCUACAAUGGCCGGUACAAAGGGCUGCGAUACCGCGAGGUGGAGCGAAUCCCAAAAAGCCGGUCUCAGUUCGGAUUGGGGUCUGCAACUCGACCCCAUGAAGUCGGAGUCGCUAGUAAUCGCAGAUCAGCAACGCUGCGGUGAAUACGUUCCCGGGCCUUGUACACACCGCCCGUCACACCAUGGGAGUUUGUUGCACCAGAAGCAGGUAGCUUAACCUUCGGGAGGGCGCUUGCCACGGUGUGGCCGAUGACUGGGGUGAAGUCGGAACAAGGUAGCCGUAG